UGUUACAUGCUAUCUAGUAAUAUUCUGUGUUUUGUUAUUGAGAAGUUUGUCCCAGUGGGGAUCCCAUAGAGUGUGUUUGUGUGGGGGUGGAGUCAGAAAGGAAAAGGGAGGAAAAUUAGAAGGAGAAAAUAGAAAAACUCUUAGUUAAAUCUACAUUAAAUUUCUUUAUAUCUCUGAGGGAAGCAUCUAUAAAACACUCGCUCAACUUCAGGAAUAUUAAAUGGCCAGAGUGGAAAUGGAACAUCAGGUUUGUAAAGGAGAAUAACGUGGUACCAGGCGAGUUUCCCUGAGGAGAGAAUUCCAUGAGUGGGGCAAGAUUACUUCAAAGCAUGGAUCAGAACACAUGGGAGCAGGCUUUACUUCAGGUGCCUACAGUGUGCCACAGAAAUCCAAUGAAUAUGGAAAGCUUAAGCUGCAUCCUCUGGAAUGCAAAGACAAUGAGCUCAGCUGAUGAAGUGCUAAACUGACUUUAGGCAUCUCUUCCAAAUAAAGUUG
This is a long non-coding RNA of Hemicordylus capensis (graceful crag lizard), 495 nucleotides long. RefSeq lists it as uncharacterized. Lineage: Eukaryota; Metazoa; Chordata; Lepidosauria; Squamata; Cordylidae. The transcript has 3 exons. The record is from RefSeq and is a predicted model, not a curated record.